AAUUAUAUUGUUAUGCAGUUUAAGCAACUGUUUUUAUCACUUUAUGUUCCCUGUUUAACAGGGCACAUUAAGUGACAAAUACAGUUUGUUAUUUUCUUGUCUGUUAAUUUCUGUCGGAAAAUAACAGACAAGAAUAUAAUAUUUUAAAAUAAAAUUUUAAUUCAACACCUUCAAAAUUAUGGAUAGCAAAAAUAUAAAAAAUUAUGGAUAACAGUGUUAUCCAUAAUUUUGAAGGUGUACAUCCAUAUUUUUCUUUUUCAUUUACAAAUAUUUUUCAUAUUGUUUGUUAGAACUAGUAUAUUUUUAGAUGUCUAAAGUUAAACUUCCUCAAUCAGAUGUCGAUCUUCUGAUGACUUAUUUUUCUGUACCAGUUAUACAAUUGCUCAAUAGAGUUAGUAAUGUUUUUGUUUUGAAAGAACUGAAGAAUGCACUAACUCAAUUUUCAUCAUUAAAGGUUAUUGAUAACGACCAUUUUGGUAAAAGGGAGUUCUUCUCACGACUCAACAUUACUUUAAAAAAUCUCUAUCCUGAGUUCAAGGAUGAUUGGAUAAAAGGGGGAGGCGAUACAAUGCUCCAUUAACUAAAAAUAUAAAUACUUUGAUGCAUCUUGUAAUGUGGUUGGAGUGGCGGGGGAGGGAACGGCAGCGAGGGUUUACGCCCCUCACCCUAAGUCAAUGUGUAUAUACCAUUAGUGUAUGUUAUAAAGAAGUGAAUUAUAAUUUUUUGUAUUUUA
Molecule: long non-coding RNA, 733 nt
Organism: Hydra vulgaris (swiftwater hydra)
Lineage: Eukaryota; Metazoa; Cnidaria; Hydrozoa; Anthoathecata; Hydridae
Source: RefSeq, a predicted model, not a curated record